CUGGGCGUAAAGCGAGCGCAGACGGUUACUUAAGCAGGAUGUGAAAUCCCCGGGCUCAACCUGGGAACUGCGUUCUGAGCUGGGUGACUAGAGUGUGUCAGAGGGAGGUAGAAUUCCACGUGUAGCAGUGAAAUGCGUAGAGAUGUGGAGGAAUACCGAUGGCGAAGGCAGCCUCCUGGGAUAACACUGACGUUCAUGCUCGAAAGCGUGGGUAGCAAACAGGAUUAGAUACCCUGGUAGUCCACGCCCUAAACGAUGUCAAUUAGCUGUUGGGCAACUUGAUUGCUUAGUAGCGUAGCUAACGCGUGAAAUUGACCGCCUGGGGAGUACGGUCGCAAGAUUAAAACUCAAAGGAAUUGACGGGGACCCGCACAAGCGGUGGAUGAUGUGGAUUAAUUCGAUGCAACGCGAAGAACCUUACCUGGUCUUGACAUGUACGGAAUCCUCCAGAGACGGAGGAGUGCCUUCGGGAACCGUAACACAGGUGCUGCAUGGCUGUCGUCAGCUCGUGUCGUGAG
Molecule: ribosomal RNA, 518 nt
Filed under: uncultured bacterium
Lineage: Bacteria
Description: bacterial SSU rRNA
Rfam family: Bacterial small subunit ribosomal RNA
Source: RNAcentral